GUGGGGAAUAUUGGACAAUGGGCGAAAGCCUGAUCCAGCCAUGCCGCGUGUGUGAAGAAGGUCUUCGGAUUGUAAAGCACUUUAAGUUGGGAGGAAGGGCAUUAACCUAAUACGUUAGUGUUUUGACGUUACCGACAGAAUAAGCACCGGCUAACUUCGUGCCAGCAGCCGCGGUAAUACGAAGGGUGCAAGCGUUAAUCGGAAUUACUGGGCGUAAAGCGCGCGUAGGUGGUUCAGUAAGUUGGAUGUGAAAUCCCCGGGCUCAACCUGGGAACUGCAUCCAAAACUGCUGAGCUAGAGUACGGUAGAGGGUGGUGGAAUUUCCUGUGUAGCGGUGAAAUGCGUAGAUAUAGGAAGGAACACCAGUGGCGAAGGCGACCACCUGGACUGAUACUGACACUGAGGUGCGAAAGCGUGGGGAGCAAACAGGAUUAGAAACCCCAGUAGUCC
RNAcentral lists this ribosomal RNA (450 nucleotides) under uncultured bacterium. RNAcentral describes it as "partial 16S ribosomal RNA". It matches the Rfam family "Bacterial small subunit ribosomal RNA", at positions 354 to 796 of the family's 1533-position model. The record is from RNAcentral.